This 262-nucleotide ribosomal RNA is filed under the name uncultured bacterium. Its description in RNAcentral is "partial 16S ribosomal RNA". It matches the Rfam family "Bacterial small subunit ribosomal RNA", at positions 793 to 1055 of the family's 1533-position model. The record is from RNAcentral.
GUCCACACCGUAAACGUUGGGCGCUAGGUGUGGGACUCAUUCCACGAGUUUCGUGCCGCAGCUAACGCAUUAAGCGCCCCGCCUGGGGAGUACGGCCGCAAGGCUAAAACUCAAAGGAAUUGACGGGGCCCGCACAAGCGGCGGAGCAUGCGGAUUAAUUCGAUGCAACGCGAAGAACCUUACCUAGGUUUGACAUAUACGAGAAGCCUCUAGAGAUAGAGGUCUCUUUGGACACUCGUAUACAGGUGUGCAUGGCUGUCGU